UACGUAGGGUGCAAGCGUUAAUCGGAAUUACUGGGCGUAAAGCGUGCGCAGGCGGUUGUGCAAGACAGAUGUGAAAUCCCCGGGCUCAACCUGGGAACUGCGUUUGAAACUGGGAGGCUAGAGUGCGGCAGAGGGGGGUGGAAUUCCACGUGUAGCAGUGAAAUGCGUAGAUAUGUGGAGGAACACCGAUGGCGAAGGCAGCCCCCUGGGCCAGCACUGACGCUCAUGCACGAAAGCGUGGGGAGCAAACAGG
RNAcentral lists this ribosomal RNA (253 nucleotides) under uncultured bacterium. RNAcentral's name for it is "partial 16S ribosomal RNA". It matches the Rfam family "Bacterial small subunit ribosomal RNA", at positions 524 to 776 of the family's 1533-position model. The record is from RNAcentral.